GAUGAAGAACGCAGCGAAAUGCGAUAAGUAAUGUGAAUUGCAGAAUUCAGUGAAUCAUCGAAUCUUUGAACGCAUCUUGCGCUCCUUGGUAUUCUGAGGAGCAUGCCUGUUUGAGUGUCAUUAAAUUCUCAACCGCACUGACUUUGAAUUGGUGUGGCUUGGAUUUGGGGGGAAAAUUGUUGUGGGCUUUUUUGUAUAGUCUGCUCCCCUGAAAUUGAUUAGCGGUACCUUUGUGGAACUGUCUACAGGUGUGAUAAUUAUCUACAUCUUAGACAUCUGCUGGAAUGCUGCUUUCUAAACCUUACUUGUAUUGACAAUCUUGACCUCAAAUCAGGUAGGACUACCCGCUGAACUUAAGCAUAUCAAUAAGCGGAGGA
RNAcentral lists this unclassified non-coding RNA (377 nucleotides) under soil metagenome. RNAcentral describes it as "partial contains 5.8S ribosomal RNA, internal transcribed spacer 2, and large subunit ribosomal RNA". The stretch from base 1 to 120 matches the Rfam family "5.8S ribosomal RNA", at positions 35 to 154 of the family's 154-position model. The record is from RNAcentral.